Molecule: ribosomal RNA, 253 nt
Filed under: uncultured bacterium
Lineage: Bacteria
Description: partial 16S ribosomal RNA
Rfam family: Bacterial small subunit ribosomal RNA
Source: RNAcentral
UACAGAGGUCCCAAGCGUUGUUCGGAUUCAUUGGGCGUAAAGGGUGUGUAGGAGGUCGGGCAAGUCGGGUGUGAAAUCUCACCGCUUAACGGUGGAAUUGCGCUCGAUACUGCUCGGCUAGAGGGCCGGAGGGGGGAUCGGAAUUCUCGGUGUAGCGGUGAAAUGCGUAGAUAUCGAGAGGAACACCUGCGGCGAAGGCGGGUUGCUGGGCUGACACUGACGCUGAGGCGCGAAAGCUAGGGGAGCGAACGGG